UAACUGCAAUGUUGUUGGAAUAGCUGAGAAGGGGUGGGUCAGUCUGCACACCAGGGGUGGCUGCCAUGGGCUGGCAUUGGCUCUCCAGGAGAGAGUGGCAGGAAGAUGAGGAUGUAAGGGGCUUGCUGUCACUGUCAAGGAUUAGCCUGGAUAUAAGGAUCCCUUCAGUGGGAUGCAUGAGGGUACUGAAGAGCCUGUGGUUUGGGGGAGAGGCCUGAAGAACACAUCCUACUUCCCACAGAGGAGUUUAACCUUUCUGACACCUACUGGAAGGCAAUUGUGGAACACCAGCAGUACAGCAGGUUUCUGGAGGGCAUCAGGGAUAACUUCUUGAAAUAAGCACAAGGAGGACCAGCUGGGGAUAACUACCUCUGCUAAUGACAAGGGAGAAGGGGCUGGGUGUGAACCAGCAACUGGUGGGGUGAGGAAGGAGAGUAACAGAGAGUGGAUGCUGGACUUUGGGAGAGCAGAUUUCAGCUUUAUUAUAAAACUUGAAUUUAUUGUUUCCGGAUGAUUCUGUGAUUCUGUGCUGAGAUACCAUAGUGUCCAAAAGCCCACUAAAUUCCUCUCACAGAGCUCAGUGGACUCUGGAACAGUGCCUGGAACCCUCAGGAGCUGAAGGAGAACAUGAAACGCUCCUGUCCUGAUUGCUGGGAGUCAUCUUUCCAAGUCACUGUGCACGUGUGCACAAAUCCUGAACUUUCAGAGGCGACUGCAGACCACAUGCACUGGCUGUCUGUCUUUCUCCCUCUGAGUGAGCUCCAGUAUGGGAAAAUGGGGCCCCAGAUCCAAGAAGUCAGAAGGAAGUGAAUUAGUGAGUUAGAGAGGAAUUUGAAAUGAAGAAGGGAAAAUAUUUGGCAGAUAAAAAGAGGCCAAAAUGUUCCAGGUGUAAAGGACAGUAUGAGAGAUGAUGCAGAAAUGAGCAGGAGGGGGAGAAAUCUGAAAGGCAGGGAGACUUGUAAGCUACUUACUCUGAAGUCCCAGGAGUGUUCCCUACUUUUAAACCUCCCACUGUUUUUUGAGGAGUGAGGUCACUGUAUUAGAAAAUUUCCUAGGACUACAGCCCAAAACAGGAAAAUUCAGUUAAAAUAUACAGGCUUGCUGCACUAAAACCAUCAUUUUAACAGCCCAGUCAUUUUAACAAGACUUUUUUCAGACUGCAGACCUGAAAUAUGUUUUGGAUUAGUGCAAUGGAAAUGCAUUGGUUUUAUUGGUCAAUUCUCUACUGUAAAUUGCUUCUCACUUGUAAUGGAUUUCUAUCCCCAAGCAGGUUUAGUCUUUUAACAAAAAUUCGGGGGAUGGACACACAAGUAGUUCAGUCUCAAAAUAAAAGCUGCUUUAUUAUGCUGACAAUAGAGUAGUGGACUUUGCUCUAGGGCUUGGAUCCUCAGCAUCAGAAGGUUGGUUAUUCCUGCUGUGUUGUCAUCCCACUACCAGCUCUCAGCCAAGAACAGUGGCCUGGUCUUAACUAGAGUUGUCUAGCGAAGUUCUCAGAGGAGAUGCUCUGCAGCAGAAUACAGCAGGAAUACCACUGUCCUAUGUCCCUUUUUUCCUAACACAGCCACAAUCAGACCUUGUAAA
This is a long non-coding RNA of Passer domesticus (house sparrow), 1581 nucleotides long. RefSeq lists it as uncharacterized. The transcript has 3 exons. The record is from RefSeq and is a predicted model, not a curated record. NCBI's taxonomy places the organism in Eukaryota, Metazoa, Chordata, Aves, Passeriformes, Passeridae.